RNAcentral lists this long non-coding RNA (1995 nucleotides) under Varroa destructor (honeybee mite). Its description in RNAcentral is "uncharacterized LOC111242791". Lineage: Eukaryota; Metazoa; Arthropoda; Arachnida; Mesostigmata; Varroidae. The record is from RNAcentral.
UGUUGUAAGCGUUAGGGUCGUCUUAAUCUGGUUGGCACGUUGACCUGGUGAAUGUAAAGCUCAUCAGUGGCAUUGGCAGAUAUAUACUUUUUCAGCCACGAAAGCCGCUCAGAAAAGACCUUGUAUUGGGCCGCGUGUCAUCAGUUCUCUACAGCUUGUUCCUGCCGAAUAAAGUGGUCUCCGGCACAGUCUGGAUCUGUUCGCAGCGUAGCCAUAGAUAGCCGGCGGCGUCACGUCGAGCAAAGCACAGUGCCGCUAAUGCUCUCACUGUUACGCUGCCGCGGCGCAACCGUUGACUGCAGAUGAUGUGGGAAGAAACGACCAAGUAGCGACAAAAAACGUUAAGCAAAAAUAAAACAACUUCUAAACUCCUCUGCCUAAUCAAGCGAUUGAGUUCGCUUCGGGAAAGCAACUCCACGGGCUAGACGCGUCCACGAGCGUCUAGUGGAAGCGAAAUUUGCGGCCGUAAGCAGUUCCACACCGUUCCUGCGCUCAAUGGCCUGUGGCGCUGUAAUGUGUAACGCUGCUGCUGCUGCUGCUGCUAAUGCCGCUGAAUUCUAAAGUAAAGCCGCGUUACAAAACAUCAUCUGUCAUCUCGACCUGGAUUUCUACGCUGAAAUCUGCGUCUCGGUGCGUGUGACACUGUAUUGGCCAACGAAAUAUAGACGUACACAGAAACAGAUACCCAAUGCAUGCACCCUACGAUGAUUUAUGCAUUUCUAAUAACUGUCGACCGUACGACGCGUGAUCUCACAUCAACGAUGCGUGUAUUCGACUCGUAUAUAUGCGCCGUCCACCUUCAAUGCUUAUAUAUAUAUACGUAAAUGUGGCUUAUAUGCUUUCAGCCAUUAUGUGGUACUGCCAAUGUGAGCUUUUACAUAUGUUGGAUUGUAUACUAUAUAUGCCUGUAAAUGUUUAUUUCGUUUCGUCAGUUGGUAACUUUACCAAGAAGUAAAGAAAUUACCAUUCGUCGGGCGGACGAAUCGACAAGGCGCUAGUGGCAUCGUAUUCGCGGUCAGCUAGAACGGACCGUCGUAAUAGGACAAUCAAAAUUAUUCCAGUAGCAAAACAAACGCUUCAAAGUCUCUCGUAUUUAUCUUGACAAAAUUGUAUGCAUGCAUAUAUAUAUGCAGCAAAGCUAGACUCCGCUCUUUCCAGGGAAUAGGUUUUUAGCUUCGAUCGAUCAUUGACACCAUAGUUGACAAACAUCUGUGUCUUUAUUACUAAUUUUAAAUUACAUGGUAAGCGGGCAGUUUUUAUACGUAAAACUUAUACGAUCCAUAUCCUCAUUUGAAUCCAUAAGAAAUACAAAAUGACAACGUAAAAACAUUGUUGAUGGUAGCGUUAACAAUUGAGCAAUGCUAGAACAGCGAAGGUCGCAUUCGAUUUUUUGUCCUUUUUUCAACUUACGUAUUAUUACUUGUAAAAAGCUUUUUUCGACUAUUUGUUGUUAAGAUAUAUGGGGAAUAAGUAAGAUUCAAAUAGCGCUUAUUCAUUUCCUGCGAUAGAUUACAAGGUAACGUGUUUGCGCAUUAGGGACGUUGCGAUCUAGGUUCGAAUCCGGGCGUAGGCACACCUCGUUUCAGAAGCCAGCGGUCUGAUGGAACACCUAACGACGCUGUUAGAUGUAAAUAUAAAGACAUAGCACCUAUUGAACUGAACUCUAAGAUUGAGCAUCGCAUGAUUUUCAACCAACUUGACAAGAAAGACUACCACUAUAAGUGUCCAAGGGAGGGUAUUGUAACAGCUGUCGCUGAUGAUCCAGACUAAUGGAUCACGCAAGUACUAUUGUAUAUUGCAAUACUAAGUAUAUUGCAAGAUCAAGUCAAAAGAACUAUCGGUGCAUUUUUAAAUGUUCGCAACAUAAUCUUAUCAAGAAAUUACUCUUCCUCCAUAACGUGUUUUUAUACAUAAAAAGAAAAAAGAAAUAGAAUUAAACGGUUUAUAGCAUUACCCGUGCUCACUAAUAGCAGACUUUUUCUGUAUCUUAUUAUA